RNAcentral lists this ribosomal RNA (501 nucleotides) under uncultured bacterium. RNAcentral's name for it is "partial 16S ribosomal RNA". It matches the Rfam family "Bacterial small subunit ribosomal RNA", at positions 30 to 523 of the family's 1533-position model. The record is from RNAcentral.
AUUGAACGCUGGCGGCAGGCUUAACACAUGCAAGUCGAGCGGGGGAAGGUAGCUUGCUACUGGACCUAGCGGCGGACGGGUGAGUAAUGCUUAGGAAUCUGCCUAUUAGUGGGGGACAACAUCUCGAAAGGGAUGCUAAUACCGCAUACGUCCUACGGGAGAAAGCAGGGGAUCUUCGGACCUUGCGCUAAUAGAUGAGCCUAAGUCGGAUUAGCUAGUUGGUGGGGUAAAGGACUACCAAGGCGACGAUCUGUAGCGGGUCUGAGAGGAUGGUGCGCCACACUGGGACUGAGACACGGCCCAGACUCCUACGGGAGGCAGCAGUGGGGAAUAUUGGACAACGGGGGGAACCCUGAUCCAGCCAUGCCGCGUGUGUGAAGAAGGCCUUAUGGUUGUAAAGCACUUUAAGCGAGGAGGAGGCUACUCUAGUUAAUACCUAGGGAUAGUGGACGUUACUCGCAGAAUAAGCACCGGCUAACUCUGUGCCAGCCGCCGCGGUAA